GGGCAAAGAUCGAACACAGAUAAGUAACUUAAGUUCUUAGUUAAUUUUAGGAAUAUUUGCACAAUUCAUACACCGACCUUGCAAGUCCAAGUUGAGCGAUUCGAGGCACGAUCUUGGCUCGAUGUCUAGCGAUGAACGUCAAGCCCACUAAGACGAAUGUAUUUCUAUAGCCUUGGGUUUAGUGGCCAACUAACGAGCGGUAUAGAGCUUGUUUGGAUAAUAAGGGUAUUUCCGAAAUGAAUUGGGUAUUGAGAUUUCUUGUGCACAAUUAUUAAAGUUUGGAUUAGUUAAGUUCAUAGUGUGGCCUAUCCGCAACUAGUGGAAAUAAUGAUUCGAACACAAUCACCCUAAACCAUUGGUUCUUAUGUUAAAAUGAUAUCGGGUCAAUUUGGUUUGUUAAUUAAGAUCUGACAUCUACUUAUCUCGGCUUUUGGUGUGUCUUUAUUUAGUUACGAUUGUCUUAAUUAGUCAGUGAUAGGUCAGCUAUAUUUGGACCCCAUCUGAACAAAUCAUGUGGCUAAACUCGGUGUUUAAGUUAUCAGCCAGAUUCGUUGGCUUCCUACGGUUGAUAAAUCAAAUUUGUGCAGUUUUUUAUUGGUACCACCCAUGUAUAGGCUAACAUCAAGUGUUAAUGGUCAAUAAGUGACAACGUAAGUUAUUUAUAAUGAAAAAAAUUCAAGAGUUUUUGAAAAUCCAAAGUAUAAAAAAUCUAGGACGUUACAUAGCCAAAUUCUUAGUCUUGGUUAAUGGAUCACCUAAAGAUUUCUUCUAAUGGUAUCCAGCAAAGGGUCCCCUUCUCCCCAUUCUUAUUUGUUGUGGUGUCCAAAGCUCCGAGCAAGAUGCUAAUUAAAGGCUAGGAGGCAAGAAUCAUUCGUGGAUUUCGGGUGGAUAAGGUGAAUCCUCCAAUCUCCCAUCUUUAAUUUACCGAUGACACUAUUUAUUUGUGAAGCCGAUGAUGCCAUGUUGAACAAGUUAAGGAUGGUGAUAUUAUGUUACGAAGCGAUCUCGGGCCAAAAGGUUAACAUUGCCAAGAGCUAGAUGUUAGGGAUGCAAAUGUCCAAUGAGGAAGUAGAGGUGAUGGCAAGGAUCUUCGAGUGCCGCGCAGGGGUCCUUCCAUCUACCUACCUUGGGCUUCCUCUUUGUGUUGGAAGGUUGGCAGAGCAUUUGUUGGAUGUAGUUGUGGAGAGGUUCGAGAGAAAGUUAUCAAAGUGGAAAAGCCUUUUACAAUCUCCCAUCAUACCUCCUUUUCAAAUGUUCGAAGUCAAUUUUGGUGAGGUUGGAAAAGUUGAUACAACUUUCUGUGACAGGGUUCAAAGGACAGGAAAGUAUUUCAUCUUUUGGGGUGGAGGUGUAUAGGCCAUACAAGGAAGGUGGGGCUGGUAUUAGGGAUUUGGAUAAUAUGAUCUGGCUCUCUUAGGAAAAUGGUUAUGCCACGUUGGAUCAGAUGAUGAAUUCUUAUCGCUAGAGGUCAUAGUAUGGAAGUGUGGAUGUCAAGGAGGAUGGGAAGUCAAGGACUCUUCUCUACAGCCCCUCGUGGUUUUGGAAGGGGAUUUCUAGAUUAAAGGCCAAGUUUAGCGUGAGAGUUGGAUUCUCCAUUGGCAAUAGGGAGUGUUAGAUUUUGGGUGGAUGUAUGGGUUAGAGAGACCCCCCUUCAAUUGUGUUCCUGGGAAUUGCUUGCCUCUCUAUGGGAAGGUUUAUUAUGGUUUCUAAAUCCUAUUCCUUCAUCAGAAAUGAAGUUGUUUGAUCCUCGCCUUGCCGAAGAAACUUGCAGGAUGAGGAAGGUGAGGAGUUUGCUAAGCUUCUUGGUUGCUUCCACCGUUACAUGCUAGCGAGAGAUGACAGAGAUAGACUAAUCUGGUUGAAGGAUAAAUCGGAGUGUUUCUUGGUUUGGUCCUAUGAGUUCCUUCGGUCUUCGAAUAGGGGUGGUACCCACAUGCACACGGCCAACAUGUGGCACCUAUGAGUCCCCCUUGAAAGUUGCGGCUUUUGGGUGGCUUGCUGGAAGAGGGAGGAUCCUCACUAUUGACGAUCUCCAAAAGAGGCUGCUAUGGAGCCGCUUCCUUUGACUCUUCGAAAUGUCUUGGGUAAUGCCAAACUCAAUUGGGGAAUUAUUCUUGCUAUGGUAUGGAGUGGGGUUAGGGAAGAACUUAAAAGCUAUAUGGAGAUUGGUCUUGCUGGCUUUUUUGUGUGCUAUUUGGGGGGAGGAAUGGAAGGUGCUACCGAAAGGAGUCCACCAAGGCAGAGGAGGUUUUUUCCAAAGGAAAGCUCCUUGUUGUGGAGUGGGCUUAUCUAAAAUUCUUAGAAGAUUGUAAUUUCUCUUUUUUGCUUCAGUUGUAGCUCUUGCACCUUCUCACUGCUUCUUAAUAAAAUAAUCAUUACUCUUCAAAAAAAAAAAA
Molecule: long non-coding RNA, 2396 nt
Organism: Magnolia sinica
Lineage: Eukaryota; Viridiplantae; Streptophyta; Magnoliopsida; Magnoliales; Magnoliaceae
Exons: 2
Source: RefSeq, a predicted model, not a curated record